This 781-nucleotide ribosomal RNA is filed under the name uncultured Neocallimastigales. RNAcentral's name for it is "partial large subunit ribosomal RNA". It matches the Rfam family "Eukaryotic large subunit ribosomal RNA", at positions 24 to 643 of the family's 3401-position model. The record is from RNAcentral. Lineage: Eukaryota; Fungi; Neocallimastigomycota; Neocallimastigomycetes; Neocallimastigales.
UAUCUCUGUAGAGUCUGCAUAUCAAUAAGCGGAGGAAAAGAAACUAACAAGGAUUCCCUUAGGUAACGGCGAGUGAAGCGGGAAGAGCUCAAAUUUGAAAUCUUCAAGGUUCUACCUUGACGAAUUGUAGUUUAAAGAAGUGUUUUCUGUUAGAUGAGUUAGGCUAAAAGUUCUCUUGGAAUAGGACAUCAUAGAGGGUGAGAAUCCCGUAUUUGACCAGUUAUUUUCCAGCUGUGUGAUACACUUUCAAAGAGUCGGAUCGUUUGGGAAUGCAGUCCAAAAUGGGUGGUAAAUUUCAUCUAAAGCUAAAUAUUGGCGAGAGACCGAUAGCGAACAAGUACCGUGAGGGAAAGAUGAAAAGAACUUUGAAAAGAGAGUUAAACAGUACGUGAAAUUGUCAAAAGGGAAGCGUUUGACACCAGUGUUGUUUUUCCGAAAAUCAAUUACGAAUGGCUUGAUUCUGUGUUGUAUUGACCUUAUCAGCUUUCUUCACUUUUUUCGAGUCUUUCUUAAUGCACUUUUCGGUUAACAAGUCAACAUCAAUUUCUUUUGUUGUAAAAGAGUAUUCGGAAGGUGGCUUUCUUUUCGGAGAAAGUGUUUAUAGCCCUAUACUUCUACAAUCGGAGAGAUUGAGGUCUGCAGCGUAGAUCCUUCGGGGUUAGAUACACUUGUGCUAAGUUGUAGCUUUUCAUAGACAACUUGUUGACUAUGUUUAGUCAUGCGGCUUACUCGCUUGUGCUAUUUUACCUACGCUUAGGAUGUUGAAGAUGUAGCACAUCAU